This 438-nucleotide ribosomal RNA is filed under the name uncultured Peribacillus sp. RNAcentral describes it as "bacterial SSU rRNA". It matches the Rfam family "Bacterial small subunit ribosomal RNA", at positions 338 to 768 of the family's 1533-position model. The record is from RNAcentral. Lineage: Bacteria; Bacillati; Bacillota; Bacilli; Caryophanales; Bacillaceae.
CCUACGGGGGGCUGCAGUAGGGAAUCUUCCGCAAUGGACGAAAGUCUGACGGAGCAACGCCGCGUGAGCGAAGAAGGCCUUCGGGUCGUAAAGCUCUGUUGUUAGGGAAGAACAAGUACGAGAGUAACUGCUCGUACCUUGACGGUACCUAACCAGAAAGCCACGGCUAACUACGUGCCAGCAGCCGCGGUAAUACGUAGGUGGCAAGCGUUGUCCGGAAUUAUUGGGCGUAAAGCGCGCGCAGGCGGUCCUUUAAGUCUGAUGUGAAAGCCCACGGCUCAACCGUGGAGGGUCAUUGGAAACUGGGGGACUUGAGUGCAGAAGAGAAGAGUGGAAUUCCACGUGUAGCGGUGAAAUGCGUAGAGAUGUGGAGGAACACCAGUGGCGAAGGCGACUCUUUGGUCUGUAACUGACGCUGAGGCGCGAAAGCGUGGGGAG